AGUGAACGCUGGCGGUAGGCCUAACACAUGCAAGUCGAACGGCAGCACAGUAAGAGCUUGCUCUUACGGGUGGCGAGUGGCGGACGGGUGAGGCAUACAUCGGAAUCUACUUUUUCGUGGGGGAUAACGUAGGGACACUUCCGCUAAUACCGCAUACGACCUACGGGUGAAAGCAGGGGAUCUUCGGACCUUGCGCGUUUGAAUGAGCCGAUGUCGGAUUAGCUAGUUGGCGGGGUAAAGGCCCACCAAGGCGACGAUCCGUAGCUGGUCUGAGAGGAUGAUCAGCCACACUGGAACUGAGACACGGUCCAGACUCCUACGGGAGGCAGCAGUGGGGAAUAUUGGGCAAUGGGCGCAAGCCUGAUCCAGCCAUGCCGCGUGGGUGAAGAAGGCCUUCGGGUUGUAAAGCCCUUUUGUUGGGAAAGAAAAGCAGCAGAUUAAUACCCCGCUGUUCUGACGGUACCCAAAGAAUAAGCACCGGCUAACUUCGUG
Molecule: ribosomal RNA, 492 nt
Filed under: uncultured bacterium
Lineage: Bacteria
Description: partial 16S ribosomal RNA
Rfam family: Bacterial small subunit ribosomal RNA
Source: RNAcentral